Molecule: long non-coding RNA, 756 nt
Filed under: Ananas comosus (pineapple)
Lineage: Eukaryota; Viridiplantae; Streptophyta; Magnoliopsida; Poales; Bromeliaceae
Description: long non-coding RNA (ACOM_LNC043746)
Source: RNAcentral
GGGCGAUGGAAGAGGAGGGGGAUGGAGAGAAAGCAGGAAGAGAAAAAGAAAUUGAUAGCGAGGAGAAAGAAAUUGAUAGCGAGGAGGAAGAAGAAAAAAGAUGAAUAAGAGAUAAAGGCGAGAGAAAGAAAAAUAAGAAUAUUUUGGUCAGUUUACUAAAAUAUAGACCUAAUCUGUAAAAUCUAAAAAAAUAUAUACUUUUAUAAAAAUACAAAACCGAUGAGCUUUUUAUACAAAUUGAUUUUUUUUUUAUAAGGCACUCUCACAGAACAAUUUCAAAAAGGAGCAAAAUGACAAAUCACAUAAAUAUGAAGAAGAUUAAUUAUAAACUUUUCAAUAUUUAAAUGGGCAAUAGCUGAAAAUAUAAAGCGACUGGACUUUAAACUUAGGACCUUGGCUAUUAAUCAUCAAAUUCUUUUGGCACUUGCAUUAGGGUUGUUGGUAGUAUAAAACUUAUUGCAUGCAAUAAUAAUAUUGUUGAAGUUUUUUACAUUUUAGCCUAUUAGAAUAAAAAAAAUUGAAACUCGUUUUUACUAUCUGUUCCUAGUGUAAGUGACAAAGAGAUUGAUGGUUAAUAUUCGAGGUCCAUAUUCAAAAUUUAGUUACUUCACAUUUCAAUUUAAAUUUAUUUUUUAAAAAAUAAGCGAAGUGAAUAGCAUAUUUACCUUUUAUCUUAAAAAAUAUAUAUUUUUUUUAUUGUUCAUCAUGAGCACCUUUCAACGAUUCCGCAGUCAAAAGUUCAAAGUAGAAAUCUUU